UACGUAGGGCGCAAGCGUUGUCCGGAAUUAUUGGGCGUAAAGAGCUCGUAGGCGGUUUGUCGCGUCUGCUGUGAAAACCUGAGGCUCAACCUCGGGCUUGCAGUGGGUACGGGCAGACUAGAGUGCGGUAGGGGUGACUGGAAUUCCUGGUGUAGCGGUGAAAUGCGCAGAUAUCAGGAGGAACACCGGUGGCGAAGGCGGGUCUCUGGGCCGAAACUGACGCUGAGGAGCGAAAGCGUGGGGAGCGAACAGG
RNAcentral lists this ribosomal RNA (253 nucleotides) under uncultured bacterium. Its description in RNAcentral is "partial 16S ribosomal RNA". It matches the Rfam family "Bacterial small subunit ribosomal RNA", at positions 524 to 776 of the family's 1533-position model. The record is from RNAcentral.